CUUAGUGAAAUGCUAACUGCAGGCUCUAACCACUAGUGCAAAAAGGUAUUAGGUGAACAAUAGGAGGGCUACAGCUAGGAAGAAGGUGAUGAAGACAGGUGUGGGAGACGUGCUGCCCUUCAUCAAGUGGAUUGUGUACAGGAAGAUCAGGUGACCCGGUACGACCAACAGGAGCAGCACCUGGGAAGAGCGAUGAUUGGCUCCUGUCAGAGGUAUGUUAAAGGGACUGGUCAUGUGCAUGAGCCUGUCUACAUGUGUGUGUCAUUACCUGAGCCACAGAAGGUCCUGCAGGGGUUGUAGCAGCUCCUGCGAUCCUCAGGCACCUGCCUCGGUGGGCAGUGGUGGUACAGAUCAGUGGCUAUACGACUGGACUGGAUGGCAGCCAGGUUCC
This is a non-coding RNA of Salmo salar (Atlantic salmon), 391 nucleotides long. The record is from RefSeq and is a predicted model, not a curated record. NCBI's taxonomy places the organism in Eukaryota, Metazoa, Chordata, Actinopteri, Salmoniformes, Salmonidae.